This 419-nucleotide ribosomal RNA is filed under the name uncultured bacterium. RNAcentral's name for it is "bacterial SSU rRNA". It matches the Rfam family "Bacterial small subunit ribosomal RNA", at positions 8 to 425 of the family's 1533-position model. The record is from RNAcentral.
AGAGUUUGAUCCUGGCUCAGAAUCAACGCUGGCGGCGUGCCUAACACAUGCAAGUCGAACGAGAAAGGGGAGCAAUCCCUGAGUAAAGUGGCGACCGGGUGAGUAACACGUGACUAACCUACCUUCGAGUGGGGGAUAACCUAGGGAAACCUGGGCUAAUACCGCAUAAUAUCUUUGGAGUGGAAAUUCUGGAGAUCAAAAGAGCAAUUUGCUUGAAGAGGGGGUCGCGGCUGAUUAGCUAGUUGGCGGGGUAAUGGCCCACCAAGGCUUUGAUCGGUAGCCGGCCUGAGAGGGCGCACGGCCACACUGGAACUGAAACACGGUCCAGACUCCUACGGGAGGCAGCAGUGGGGAAUUUUGCGCAAUGGGGGAAACCCUGACGCAGCAACGCCGCGUGGAGGAUGAAGUCCCUUGGGACG